Potamilus streckersoni is the source of this 77-nucleotide non-coding RNA. NCBI's taxonomy places the organism in Eukaryota, Metazoa, Mollusca, Bivalvia, Unionida, Unionidae. The record is from the annotation of a GenBank genome assembly.
GACCUCUCCGGUGUCCUAGUGGUUAGAGCGUCCUCUUCGGAUGCGGUAGAUCGCGGGUUCAAUCCACGUCCGGGUCA